UAUACAAAUAACACAAUACAAGAAAGUGUCUUCAGAAGGUUUUUCUAUUAGCUUAGCAAGGAAAGGCUAGUACUUUAUUCAUUCUUAAUGCCCAAGACAGUUCACUGACUACAUUAAGAGAUUUGGAGUGGGCAUGCAUGUAGAAAAUGAACCAUCCACUGGAAAAAACUGCAGAUUUAUUGUAGAAGUAUAGAAAAUUUUCAGGAGUUAAAGAGUAUCAAAGUGACACUAAUUUUGGCAUCAAAUAGUUCUAAGUUUUAUACCUGCAUCUAUCUCUAAUUUUGUGAUAUUGGUCAAAAUGCUUAUACUAGGUCUCAUUUCCUAAUCUCAAUAAAGGGGAUAAUAGAACCUAUAGGUUAUGGUUUAAGAUGUAUUUGUUACUGCUCAAUGAGUAAUAGCAGUUGAUAUCAUUAGUAUUCUUAUUAACUGGAUUUCAAAAAUUUCUAAGGCACUUGAGUGCCUUUGAUUCCUCAAAAUCAUUUUUGAAGAUUAUCCCAGGACAAACUCAUCAGUAACUUAAAAAUAUUUUUUGUGCAUUUAUUGUGUUAAGCUUCAUUUUAUAUUCAGAAGUUUAUAAUGCUAACUGAUUUAGAACUUAGAUCUAAAUUACUCUAAUCUUACAACUGCUUGGAUAUGAAGAUAGAUAUUUCUUAUAAAGAGUUUAAACCAUGUCUUUGUCUUUUUAGGCCCACACCCAUGGCAUAUGGAAGUCCCCAGGUUAGGGGUUUAAUCAGAGAUACACCUACUGGCCUAUGCCACAGCCACAGCAACGCCAGAUAUGAGCCAUGUCUGUGACCUACACUACAGCUCCCUGGCAACACCAGAGCAUUAACCCACUGAGCAAGGCCAGGGAUUGAACCUAUGUCCUCGUGGUUGCUAGUCAGAUUCAUUUCCACUGAGCCAUGACAGGAACUCCCCAGAGUUUAAACUUUAGAAAUUCUCACAUAGAAGAAUAAUUUUUAAAACUCUCCUGCUUUGGACUUAGAUUAUAUACAUGCUUUUUAACAUUAAUUUGAAUAGUUCUUGGUGUGUUUAUUACUUGGGUGUCCUAAUGACAUAGUAAGCCUAAGAGAAGAAUUCUACCUUAUACACACUAAAACAGUCUCCUAAUUAAUUGGUAGAAAAAGGAAUGACAAAGUUCAAAAAUUUUUUCUGGUAUACAUAUAUAUUUUCUUUUAUACAUAAAAGAAGUUGAAUCUAUUGUUGGCUACCAAUAUUUUUUCCUAUUAUUCCAUAAUUAUUAUUGUUUAAAGCUUCUGAUGGUAUUUUCCUUAAGUAUAGUCUCAUGUUUGCUGGUAUUUAGACUUGUGACUAUGGAUAAUUAUUCUUCUUAUUUACAAAAUUUUUAUAAAUUUCACUACUACAUAGAAUGAUUACUGUAAUAUCUAUAAAGUAAGAUAAUAUGUUUCAGUUUAGGGUUUUUUUUUUUUUUUUUUUUUUUUUGCCUUUUUAGGGCUGUACCUGUGGUGUAUGGAGGUUCCCAGGCUAGGAGUCUAAUCGGAGCCGUAGCUGCUGGCCUACACCACAGCCACAGCAAUGCCAGAUCUGAGCCAUGUCUGUGACCUAUACCACAGCUCACAGACCUAUACCACCUUGGGUGUCACAGGACACCCAAGUGGCUCCUUAACCCACUGAGCAAGGCCAGGGAUUGAACCUGCAACCUCAUGGUUCCUAGUUGGAUGAGUUUCUGCUGUACCGUGACAAGGACUCCUCAAUUUGAUUGUUUGAAGAAAGGUCACAACAUAUGGCACACAAAAUCAUUAUAAUUAAUAAAAGAACAUUUCACAAGAGAUAGCAACUUCACUAGUGCUUUAUUAUUUAAUUUCUUAAAUAUAAAUUUAAAAAACGUUAAAAAUAGAAUCUGAAUAUAAUAAAUCUAAUUCAUAGUUAAAACUGAUAUUUGCUAAAGAUUUGUGCCAAAGGGAAGCCAAAAACAUCUGUCAACUCUAUACAAUUAAAAUCCAUUCAUGAACUUUUUAAAAAAUCCCAAUUAAUUAAGUAUCUCUUUAAUAUAAAAAUCUUGAAAGGACUUUUCUAUAUUUGUCUUUAUUUAUUUUCCAAAAUAUUUAUUGUGGAUUCAUAUGGAAACAGCCUAUGACAAGGAAAAACAAAGUUUUUAUGGCGAUAAAAUUAGUCAUCCUCUUUGGUCUACUAAUAAAAUUUAUGUGAAAUGAAAAAAGGACAAUAUUUCUAGGUAAUUAGAAAAAAUCACCUUAAUAAGCAGCUAAACUCAAUUUUCUACUUAUUCUUCAGCUAAUGCCUCUUUUUCCUUAAGAGUAACAUAAGUACUUAUUUGAUGAAAAUUAUGCAUUUAGUAGCUAAUGUAUUUAAAUUUGUAUAAUAUGAAAGCCCCACAUGGUUUCCAAGGAUGACUAAUAAUAGAGUAAAUCUAAGUAUUUGGUUAAAAAUAAUAUGAAAUGUGAUUUAUGUAUUGUACUAGAUUUCAUCUGUCAACAUUUCUUCUCUAGUAAACUACCAUAGCAUUAGGUUUUCAUCAUUAGUAAUCAAGUCUUUUUCCAAAAUUUAAACCUAGAAAUGAGUCAGGAAAAAAAUCCACCUUCUGCAUUGUUUUAUUGGCGGCAUCUCAUAUGACAUUAAUGAGUAGAAAGGCUACUAAAAAGAAUGUUGAUAGCUUUAAUAAUUCACGCUUCAAAGUUUUUUUCAUUAGAAAUAUCAAAUUUGUAAUUACCUACUUUCAAUUAUAUCCUUACUUUGAAUUAUAUCCUUAUAUAUUAAUGUUCUAUCACUAAAAUGCUUACCUAAAUUUAAAGAAGUUUAUAACAGUAGUUUAAUAAACUGAGAAAAUUGUUCUGUAGCAUUCUGGAUUAGCAAUAUCACAGACAUAUUUAAAGUGAUGAUAACUUUAGUUUUAGGUUUACUUUUAAGAAUUUACCUUUUUCCACCAUUGUUUAAGGUAAACAGUUGAACAAGCUACAAGCAUGAAAAAAGAAGUCUUCUAAAAAGGGCUUUUAUGCAUGCAGUCUAUUAAAAAAUAAAUGAUCUUUACUUCAAAAUAGAUUAAUUGCAUUACCCGGGCCAAAUGAUAUUUUCUCUCAAGGACAAGAGCUUAGUUAGGGAGCCCAAGGUUCAUUUUGUUAACUAAAUGAAAAUAAAUUGGUGAGAACUUAGAGUUAGCAUCCAAGAGCUCACAGAGAAUUACUCUAACUUGAGAAGGAGAUUAAAAUUUCUCCUAAGAAAGAUACCUUUCUCAAAAAUUCAACCUUGACACCAUUUCUGCCAAUCAUAUCUGUAAAUCAUUACACACACACACACACACACACACACGAUAUUCAGCCAGCAUGCUUUCUCAUUACUUCUGACCUCUCUUACAUUCAUUCAAUUUGCUCUGCGCUUGUACCUUUAUAAUCAUUAAGUAAUUUUGAUUAUUAUUGCUCUUGUACAUACACAUAUAUAUGUGUCUGAAAUAGAGAUCAUAUAUUGAGAAAAAUCUUUAUGAGAAUGUAAUUACUGAUAUUGAAACUCAAGUUAUUUCUAAAACGAUAUCUACUAGAAUGCAGUUGUAUGUACAAGAAAGUAAUAUAAAUGCAAUAAGUCUACUCUUAAACAAGCUGAAAGAAUAUCUCACAUAAAGACAGAACAUAUGUAGGAUGGGGAGAAGAGUCUGAAGAAAAUGGUAUAUAUGGAAGACUCAUGGUGUCAUUGUCAUUGACAUAUCGUGAGUGUAAAGAGAAAUAUUUGGAAUUUACACUUGAGGUCUCUAAAUGUCAACUAAAGAGAAGAAGCUCUCUUUAAGAGACAAAAAGAAUCAUUGAAGAUGACUGAGCAGAGUAUAGGUCUGAUCAGAUUUAUGAUUUAGGUUUACAUCAGCUGUAUCCAUAAAAGUUUUUAAGUAUUACUUAAAAGUUGGAGGGUACUUUGUUCUCAUUCAGCCUCAAAGUUCAUGAAUUAAAAAAAAAAAGGAAAAGAAUAAAUUGAGCUCAUUUGUCCUAUAAUUCCACAUGUAUGAGUUAGAGAAAUACUUUCAUUCUUGUAUUCAAAUAUCAUUCUCUUCUCUUACAGCAUGAAUUUAUACAAGUUUCUUUGAAAAAAAAGUACAUGAAGAAGGCUGGUAUAGUGUAUUCUAAAAAUAUACUCUAUUAAUAGAAUUUAACAUAUUUAUUUAUGAAUCUUUUUACCUUACUCUCCAUUGGAAGAGUUGGGUAGAUAUAAACACAAAAGUAAGCAAGAUAAAAACACAGAAGUAGUUGUUCUUUUCAAAUUGAGGAUAUUGGAAUCAGGUUAUGGUUGAGUACAGAGGUACAUUUUGCUGCUGAGGGUCAAAGUUUAAAAAAAUGACUAUAAUUCUGGUUAUAAAAGGAAAAUCUGGAGAAUCAAAUAGAGUUGACAUAUAAAAGUUAAACA
Molecule: long non-coding RNA, 4362 nt
Filed under: Sus scrofa (pig)
Lineage: Eukaryota; Metazoa; Chordata; Mammalia; Artiodactyla; Suidae
Description: lncRNA (ENSSSCG00000058903.1)
Source: RNAcentral